GUGGGGAAUAUUGGACAAUGGGCGAAAGCCUGAUCCAGCCAUGCCGCGUGUGUGAAGAAGGUCUUCGGGUUGUAAAGCUCUUUAGCCGAUGAUUAUAAUGACUGUAGUCGGAAAAUAAGCCCCGGCUAACUUCGUGCCAGCAGCCGCGGUAAUACGAAGGGGGCGAGCGUUAUUCGGAAUCACUGGGCGUAAAGCGUGCGUAGGCGGCUUUGCAAGUUGGGAGUGAAAGCCCAGGGCUCAACCCUGGAAUUGCGCUCAAAACUGCAAGGCUCGAAUUCGGGAGAGGAUAGCGGAAUUGUCAGUGUAGCAGUGAAAUGCGUAGAUAUUGACAGGAACACCAGUGGCGUAAGCGGCUAUCUGGACCGAUAUUGACGCUGAGGCACGAAAGCGUGGGGAUCAAACAGGAUUAGAAACCCCAGUAGUCC
This 425-nucleotide ribosomal RNA is filed under the name uncultured bacterium. RNAcentral describes it as "partial 16S ribosomal RNA". It matches the Rfam family "Bacterial small subunit ribosomal RNA", at positions 354 to 796 of the family's 1533-position model. The record is from RNAcentral.